GAUGAACGCUGGCGGCGUGCCUAAUACAUGCAAGUCGAGCGAACAGACGAGGAGCUUGCUCCUCUGACGUUAGCGGCGGACGGGUGAGUAACACGUGGAUAACCUACCUAUAAGACUUGGAUAACUUCGGGAAACCGGAGCUAAUACCGGAUAAUAUAUUGAACCGCAUGGUUCAAUAGUGAAAGACGGUUUUGCUGUCACUUAUAGAUGGAUCCGCGCCGCAUUAGCUAGUUGGUAAGGUAACGGCUUACCAAGGCAACGAUGCGUAGCCGACCUGAGAGGGUGAUCGGCCACACUGGAACUGAGACACGGUCCAGACUCCUACGGGAGGCAGCAGUAGGGAAUAUUCCGCAAUGGGCGAAAGCCUGACGGAGCAACGCCGCGUGAGUGAUGAAGGUCUUCGGAUCGUAAAACUCUGUUAUUAGGGAAGAACAAAUGUGUAAGUAACUAUGCACGUCUUGACGGUACCUAAUCAGAAAGCCACGGCUAACUACGUG
This 497-nucleotide ribosomal RNA is filed under the name uncultured bacterium. RNAcentral describes it as "partial 16S ribosomal RNA". It matches the Rfam family "Bacterial small subunit ribosomal RNA", at positions 28 to 507 of the family's 1533-position model. The record is from RNAcentral.